ACCUUGCUGACGAGUGCCAAACAGUACGAAACCUGAGUCCAAGUU
Molecule: non-coding RNA, 45 nt
Organism: Schistosoma mansoni
Lineage: Eukaryota; Metazoa; Platyhelminthes; Trematoda; Strigeidida; Schistosomatidae
Source: Rfam